GAUGAACGCUGGCGGCGUGCCUAAUACAUGCAAGUCGAGCGAACGGACGAGAAGCUUGCUUCUCUGAUGUUAGCGGCGGACGGGUGAGUAACACGUGGAUAACCUACCUAUAAGACUGGGAUAACUUCGGGAAACCGGAGCUAAUACCGGAUAAUAUUUUGAACCGCAUGGUUCAAAAGUGAAAGACGGUCUUGCCGUCACUUAUAGAUGGAUCCGCGCUGCAUUAGCUAGUUGGUAAGGUAACGGCUUACCAAGGCAACGUUGCAUAGCCGACCUGAGAGGGUGAUCGGCCACACUGGAACUGAGACACGGUCCAGACUCCUACGGGAGGCAGCAGUAGGGAAUCUUCCGCAAUGGGCGAAAGCCUGACGGAGCAACGCCGCGUGAGUGAUGAAGGUCUUCGGAUCGUAAAACUCUGUUAUUAGGGAAGAACAUAUGUGUAAGUAACUGUGCACAUCUUGACGGUACCUAAUCAGAAAGCCACGGCUAACUACGUG
RNAcentral lists this ribosomal RNA (497 nucleotides) under uncultured bacterium. RNAcentral's name for it is "partial 16S ribosomal RNA". It matches the Rfam family "Bacterial small subunit ribosomal RNA", at positions 28 to 507 of the family's 1533-position model. The record is from RNAcentral.